Molecule: long non-coding RNA, 423 nt
Organism: Vitis riparia (riverbank grape)
Lineage: Eukaryota; Viridiplantae; Streptophyta; Magnoliopsida; Vitales; Vitaceae
Exons: 3
Source: RefSeq, a predicted model, not a curated record
UAGUGUUAGCUCUGGUCUGUUUGUUUGGUCGUUGUGAGGUUGUCUAUGGUGGGAGUGCGUUGAAGGGAGUGAGUUAUGACGGCCGACCUUUGAUAGUCAAUGGGAAGAGAGAGCUUCUCUUCUCCGGUUCUAUACAUUAUCCUCGUAGUAUUCCUGAGAUGUGGCCAGACAUGGAGGGCUGAAUGUGAUUCAUACUUAUGCGUUUUGGAACCUUCAUGAGCCUGUUCAGGGCCAGGACCACAUGAAAAGGUUCACCAGGAUGAUCAUAGAUAUGAUGAGCAAGGAGAAAUUAUUUGCAUCUCAAGGGGGUCCCAUCAUUCUAGUACCGGUAUUCUGCUGUAACUGAGAAGAACUAUUCCUGAUUUGAAGAGUAGGGGCCAUGGUUGGUAGGUGGUUCUGCGUCUUUGUUGGGUUGAGCAGAUU